AGGACGAACGCUGGCGGCGUGCUUCAUACAUGCAAGUCGAACGCGGUCCAAUCGGUGGAAACACCGAUGAAGACCGAGUGGCGAACGGGUGCGUAACACGUGAGCAACCUGCCCCGAAGACCGGGAUAACAGCGGGAAACCGCUGCUAAUACCGGAUACCCCCACUGGAUCGCAUGGUCCGGUGAGGAAAUGGAUUCCGCUUCGGGAGGGGCUCGCGGCCUAUCAGCUUGUUGGUGGGGUAAUGGCUCACCAAGGCAACGACGGGUAGCUGGUCUGAGAGGACGAUCAGCCACACUGGGACUGAGACACGGCCCAGACUCCUACGGGAGGCAGCAGUAGGGAAUCUUGCGCAAUGGGCGAAAGCCUGACGCAGCAACGCCGCGUGAGGGAUGAAGGCCUUCGGGUUGUAAACCUCUUUCAAGCAGGGACGAUAAUGACGGUACCUGCAGAAGAAGCUCCGGCCAACUACGCGCCAGCAGCCGC
Molecule: ribosomal RNA, 483 nt
Filed under: uncultured bacterium
Lineage: Bacteria
Description: SSU rRNA
Rfam family: Bacterial small subunit ribosomal RNA
Source: RNAcentral